Camelus ferus (Wild Bactrian camel) is the source of this 72-nucleotide transfer RNA. It matches the Rfam family "tRNA". From Rfam's summary of the family: Transfer RNA (tRNA) molecules are approximately 80 nucleotides in length. Their secondary structure includes four short double-helical elements and three loops (D, anti-codon, and T loops). NCBI's taxonomy places the organism in Eukaryota, Metazoa, Chordata, Mammalia, Artiodactyla, Camelidae. The record is from Rfam.
GAAGGUAUAGCUCAGUGGUAGAGCACAUACUUAGAAUGAAUGAGGUCCUGGGUUCAAACCUCAGUACCUCCA